GAUGAACGCUGGCGGCGUGCCUAAUACAUGCAAGUCGAGCGAACGGACGAGAAUCUUGCUUUUCUGAUGUUACCGGCGGACGGGUGAGUAACACGUGGAUAACCUCCCUAUAAGACUGAGAUAACUUCGGGAAACCGGAGCUAAUACCGGAUAAUAUCUUGAACCGCAUGGUUCAAAAGUGAAAGACGGUCUUGCUAUCACUUAUAGAUCUAUCCGCUCUGCAUUAGCUAGUUGGUAAGGUAAGGCCUUACCGAGGCAACGAGGCAUAGCCGGCCUGAGAGGGUGAUCGGCCAGAGUGGAACUGAGACACGGUCGAGACUCCUACAGGAGGCAGAAUCAGGGAGGCGGCCGCAAUGGGCAAAAUCGUGACGGGGCAACGCGGCGUGAGUGACGAAGGUCUGCGGAUCGUAAAACUCUGUGAGUAGGGAAGACCAUAUGUGUAAGUAACUGUGCACAUCUUGACGGUACCGAAACAGAAAGCCACGGCUAACUACGUG
RNAcentral lists this ribosomal RNA (497 nucleotides) under uncultured bacterium. RNAcentral describes it as "partial 16S ribosomal RNA". It matches the Rfam family "Bacterial small subunit ribosomal RNA", at positions 28 to 507 of the family's 1533-position model. The record is from RNAcentral.